UCUUCUUUGCUGGCGACCGGCGCACGGGUGAGUAACACGUAUCCAACCUGCCUUUACUCGGGGAUAGCCUUUCGAAAGAAAGAUUAAUACCCGAUAGCAUAAUGAUUCCGCAUGGUUUCAUUAUUAAAGGAUUCCGGUAAAGGAUGGGGAUGCGUUCCAUUAGGUUGUUGGUGAGGUAACGGCCCACCAAGCCUUCGAUGGAUAGGGGUUCUGAGAGGAAGGUCCCCCACAUUGGAACUGAGACACGGUCCAA
RNAcentral lists this ribosomal RNA (253 nucleotides) under uncultured bacterium. Its description in RNAcentral is "partial 16S ribosomal RNA". It matches the Rfam family "Bacterial small subunit ribosomal RNA", at positions 79 to 334 of the family's 1533-position model. The record is from RNAcentral.